AUUGAACGCUGGCGGCAUGCCUUACCCAUGCAAGUCGAACGGCAGCACGGGUGCUUGCCCCUGGUGGCGAGUGGCGAACGGGUGAGUAAUACAUCGGAACAUGUCCUGUAGUGGGGGAUAGCCCGGCGAAAGCCGGAUUAAUACCGCAUACGAUCUACGGAUGAAAGCGGGGGCCCUUCGGGCCUCGCGCUAUAGGGUUGGCCGAUGGCUGAUUAGCUAGUUGGUGGGGUAAAGGCCUACCAAGGCGACGAUCAGUAGCUGGUCUGAGAGGACGACCAGCCACACUGGGACUGAGACACGGCCCAGACUCCUACGGGAGGCAGCAGUGGGGAAUUUUGGACAAUGGGCGAAAGCCUGAUCCAGCAAUGCCGCGUGUGUGAAGAAGGCCUUCGGGUUGUAAAGCACUUUUGUCCGGAAAGAAAUCCUUGGCCCUAAUACGGUCGGGGGAUGACGGUACCGGAAGAAUAAGCACCGGCUAACUACGUG
RNAcentral lists this ribosomal RNA (486 nucleotides) under uncultured bacterium. RNAcentral describes it as "partial 16S ribosomal RNA". It matches the Rfam family "Bacterial small subunit ribosomal RNA", at positions 30 to 507 of the family's 1533-position model. The record is from RNAcentral.